RNAcentral lists this ribosomal RNA (1342 nucleotides) under uncultured bacterium. RNAcentral's name for it is "bacterial SSU rRNA". It matches the Rfam family "Bacterial small subunit ribosomal RNA", at positions 28 to 1381 of the family's 1533-position model. The record is from RNAcentral.
GACGAACGCUGGCGGCGUGCUUAACACAUGCAAGUCGAACGAUGAUGCCCAGCUUGCUGGGUGGAUUAGUGGCGAACGGGUGAGUAACACGUGAGUAACCUGCCCCUGACUCUGGGAUAAGCGUUGGAAACGACGUCUAAUACUGGAUAUGAUCACUGGCCGCAUGGUCUGGUGGUGGAAAGAUUUUUUGGUUGGGGAUGGACUCGCGGCCUAUCAGCUUGUUGGUGAGGUAACGGCUCACCAAGGCGACGACGGGUAGCCGGCCUGAGAGGGUGACCGGCCACACUGGGACUGAGACACGGCCCAGACUCCUACGGGAGGCAGCAGUGGGGAAUAUUGCACAAUGGGCGAAAGCCUGAUGCAGCAACGCCGCGUGAGGGAUGACGGCCUUCGGGUUGUAAACCUCUUUUAGUAGGGAAGAAGCGAAAGUGACGGUACCUGCAGAAAAAGCACCGGCUAACUACGUGCCAGCAGCCGCGGUAAUACGUAGGGUGCAAGCGUUGUCCGGAAUUAUUGGGCGUAAAGAGCUCGUAGGCGGUUUGUCGCGUCUGCUGUGAAAUCCCGAGGCUCAACCUCGGGCUUGCAGUGGGUACGGGCAGACUAGAGUGCGGUAGGGGAGAUUGGAAUUCCUGGUGUAGCGGUGGAAUGCGCAGAUAUCAGGAGGAACACCGGUGGCGAAGGCAGAUCUCUGGGCCGUAACUGACGCUGAGGAGCGAAAGCAUGGGGAGCGAACAGGAUUAGAUACCCUGGUAGUCCAUGCCGUAAACGUUGGGCGCUAGAUGUAGGGACCUUUCCACGGUUUCUGUGUCGUAGCUAACGCAUUAAGCGCCCCGCCUGGGGAGUACGGCCGCAAGGCUAAAACUCAAAGGAAUUGACGGGGGCCCGCACAAGCGGCGGAGCAUGCGGAUUAAUUCGAUGCAACGCGAAGAACCUUACCAAGGCUUGACAUACACCGGAAACGGCCAGAGAUGGUCGCCCCCUUGUGGUCGGUGUACAGGUGGUGCAUGGUUGUCGUCAGCUCGUGUCGUGAGAUGUUGGGUUAAGUCCCGCAACGAGCGCAACCCUCGUUCUAUGUUGCCAGCGGGUUAUGCCGGGGACUCAUAGGAGACUGCCGGGGUCAACUCGGAGGAAGGUGGGGAUGACGUCAAAUCAUCAUGCCCCUUAUGUCUUGGGCUUCACGCAUGCUACAAUGGCCGGUACAAAGGGCUGCGAUACCGUAAGGUGGAGCGAAUCCCAAAAAGCCGGUCUCAGUUCGGAUUGAGGUCUGCAACUCGACCUCAUGAAGUCGGAGUCGCUAGUAAUCGCAGAUCAGCAACGCUGCGGUGAAUACGUUCCCGGGCCU